RNAcentral lists this ribosomal RNA (468 nucleotides) under uncultured bacterium. RNAcentral describes it as "partial 16S ribosomal RNA". It matches the Rfam family "Bacterial small subunit ribosomal RNA", at positions 28 to 507 of the family's 1533-position model. The record is from RNAcentral.
GACGAACGCUGGCGGCGUGCUUAACACAUGCAAGUCGAACGGAAAGGCCCUGCUUUUGUGGGGUGCUCGAGUGGCGAACGGGUGAGUAACACGUGAGUAACCUUCCCUUGACUUUGGGAUAACUUCAGGAAACUGGGGCUAAUACCGGAUAGGAGCUCCUGCUGCAUGGUGGGGGUUGGAAAGUUUCGGCGGUUGGGGAUGGACUCGCGGCUUAUCAGCUUGUUGGUGGGGUAGUGGCUUACCAAGGCUUUGACGGGUAGCCGGCCUGAGAGGGUGACCGGCCACAUUGGGACUGAGAUACGGCCCAGACUCCUACGGGAGGCAGCAGUGGGGAAUAUUGCACAAUGGGCGGAAGCCUGAUGCAGCAACGCCGCGUGCGGGAUGACGGCCUUCGGGUUGUAAACCGCUUUCGCCUGUGACGAAGAGUGAGCGACGGUAAUGGGUAAAGAAGCACCGGCUAACUACGUG